RNAcentral lists this ribosomal RNA (401 nucleotides) under uncultured bacterium. RNAcentral describes it as "bacterial SSU rRNA". It matches the Rfam family "Bacterial small subunit ribosomal RNA", at positions 356 to 775 of the family's 1533-position model. The record is from RNAcentral.
GGGGAAUAUUGGACAAUGGGCGCAAGCCUGAUCCAGCCAUGCCGCGUGAGUGAUGAAGGCCUUAGGGUUGUAAAGCUCUUUUAGCAGGGACGAUAAUGACGGUACCUGCAGAAAAGCCCGGCCAACUUCGUGCCAGCAGCCGCGGUAAUACGAAGGGGGCUAGCGUUGCUCGGAAUCACUGGGCGUAAAGCGCACGUAGGUGGGUCGUUAAGUCGGGGGUGAAAUCCCAGAGCUCAACUCUGGAACUGCCUUCGAUACUGGCGACCUUCGAGUUCGGGAGAGGUGAGUGGAACUGCGAGUGUAGAGGUGAAAUUCGUAGAUAUUCGCAAGAACACCAGUGGCGAAGGCGGCUCACUGGCCCGAUACUGACACUGAGGUGCGAAAGCGUGGGGAGCAAACAG